Molecule: ribosomal RNA, 483 nt
Filed under: uncultured bacterium
Lineage: Bacteria
Description: partial 16S ribosomal RNA
Rfam family: Bacterial small subunit ribosomal RNA
Source: RNAcentral
AUUGAACGCUCGCGGGAUGCUUUACACAUGCAAGUCGAACGGCAGCGCGGACUUCGGUCUGGCGGCGAGUGGCGAACGGGUGAGUAAUGUAUCGGAACGUGCCCAGUAGCGGGGGAUAACUACGCGAAAGCGUAGCUAAUACCGCAUACGCCCUACGGGGGAAAGCAGGGGAUCGUAAGACCUUGCACUAUUGGAGCGGCCGAUAUCGGAUUAGCUAGUUGGUGAGGUAACGGCUCACCAAGGCGACGAUCCGUAGCUGGUUGAGAGGACGACCAGCCACACUGGGACUGAGACACGGCCCAGACUCCUACGGGAGGCAGCAGUGGGGAAUUUUGGACAAUGGGGGCAACCCUGAUCCAGCCAUCCCGCGUGUGCGAUGAAGGCCUUCGGGUUGUAAAGCACUUUUGGCAGGAAAGAAACGUCGCGGGCUAAUACCCCGUGGAACUGACGGUACCUGCAGAAUAAGCACCGGCUAACUACGUG